CUCCCUCGUUGCUGAUCUCAGGUUCGAUAAUGCCAAUAUCGCACCACCUUGCCUAAAACCAACUUCGAUGAAGCGACGGGCGGUGUGUG
RNAcentral lists this ribosomal RNA (89 nucleotides) under uncultured archaeon. RNAcentral describes it as "partial 16S ribosomal RNA". The record is from RNAcentral.